UUUCCAGUGAUGAAAUCAAUUUUCAAAUUACACCAUCAUUCGGGACUGAUAUUUCCCCUGAUGAUAUUCUGCAAUUCUGAGGCUA
This is a small nucleolar RNA of Salvia hispanica, 85 nucleotides long. RefSeq annotates it as small nucleolar RNA SNORD96 family. The record is from RefSeq and is a predicted model, not a curated record. Lineage: Eukaryota; Viridiplantae; Streptophyta; Magnoliopsida; Lamiales; Lamiaceae.